GACGCCUUAUUGUGCAAUAAUUAGUAUAGAGACGAUUUAGUAGAGCGUGACAUGUGACGUGGCACGUGACACGUGAUGGGGUGGAUGAUGUGGCGGGUGACAUGGCAUGUUACGUGGCAGAUGAUGUGACAGGUGACGUGGCACGUGACAUGGCGGAUGAUGUGGCAGGUGACUUGGCGGGUGACAUGUUUCAUAGUAAUACCAAAUUGCGUGUUAACAAAUAUAGAAACAAUAUCGUAAAUAUAUUUUUAUUAUGCGUCUACGGAUAUAGACACGUUUUAUAGUAACACCACAUUGUGUAUUAAGAAUUGUAGAGACAAUUUAUAGAUACAUCUAUUUUGAUGUGUACUAAUAUAUAAUGAUUCUUUUAUUUGCAUUUAUAAAUCCAAUAUAUCAUUUUAUUUUCUAAUAGGAUAAUAAUGCCUAAAUAGAGACAUUGCAUUGGCAAUCAAUUCUUUGCUUCACCAAAAAGAAACUGCGUACUUCAUUCAAGAACCAACAUGUCCAUUAAUUAAAAUACUAUCAACAAGACAAUUGCCUCGAUAAAGAAAUACAGACAAAGUAACAAUACCAUACAAUUAUUUCUAAAUAUUUUCACUAACAAUUAAAACCUACUCUUCAUUUCCCGUUCUUACCCC
Molecule: long non-coding RNA, 638 nt
Filed under: Setaria viridis
Lineage: Eukaryota; Viridiplantae; Streptophyta; Magnoliopsida; Poales; Poaceae
Description: long non-coding RNA (SVIR_LNC007243)
Source: RNAcentral